UAAUAGUCCCUCUUGAAAGGAGUCAAUCCUAUUGACUUUUGGCAAAUAAUGGCUCGGCGCGGAAAUUAAUUUGGUACCUAUUUGGUCUGGUGUUAGGUUGUACCGACAGCCAAAAAUAAUUAGGAUCGUCUUGGAUCUGAAAGUACGGUAGCCCAAGGGGCACGUACUGAUGGCUCCAUGAUGUAUGACCAUGGUUGGCGAGAGUCGGCAUGGCCUGUGGACUGUGGAGACCUGUUUGACAUGGGGAAGGAGACAAGUCAUAUCAAUACAUGGUUGCUGGUUCCCAGUUACAAGGAGACUGGUCCAUCUUAUAAAUUAGAUUUCAAUAUGAAACCAGCAGAAGUCCAGUGGCUGCCAACCUCAAAAGGACCAAGCACAAAAUUAUACAAGGGCUUGACAUUGUUCCUUUUGCAUGCUUAAUAAUUUCAUUUUCCCAUUUGUUGCUGUGCAAGCUUUCUCUGAGCUUGCGUCUUCCAGGUUUAUAAACCCUCGGAGUGCGCAUGAGUGCAUUUGCUGCCACUCUGAAACAUCCAUGUUCUUAAAAUUGGGUGGUGGCAACAGUGUCGUGGAUGAAUGGCCAACAGAAAUAAAGGAAGCCUCUGAAGAAGACAAAGAGCAUCUCUGCGUACAUAUGGCAAGACGGGCAUAUUAAUUAUGGGCCUCACGAGAUUCCUUUUGACAUUUAGGUGAUGAGAACUAUGUUGAAUGGUACUUGAGUUUGCCGUAUGCCUUCAAUUUUUGUUCGGCAUCGGCAUAGGAGUUUGCCGUAUGCCUUCAAUUUUUGUUCGGCCUCGGCAUAGGCUGGCAUUCUUGAAUCCUAUUGUGAUGCACAUAUCUGCUGAAAGAAUCUUCCAAAUAGGGCUGACAUUGUUCUGCUGCACACACGGCAUGCAGCUCAUUCCACAACAUUUAGCAUUUAGAAUAUUGAAAACAAAUUUGAUGUCUCUACCUUUAUGAUUCCAUCCAGA
This 968-nucleotide long non-coding RNA is filed under the name Musa acuminata (dwarf banana). RNAcentral describes it as "long non-coding RNA (MACU_LNC001809)". Lineage: Eukaryota; Viridiplantae; Streptophyta; Magnoliopsida; Zingiberales; Musaceae. The record is from RNAcentral.